Molecule: long non-coding RNA, 734 nt
Filed under: Homo sapiens (human)
Lineage: Eukaryota; Metazoa; Chordata; Mammalia; Primates; Hominidae
Description: non-protein coding LINC01605:13
Source: RNAcentral
AGAUGAAGAGCUCGGGUAUCUGAGGGCUGGUGUGUCUGCAUGCGUGUGUGUUUUGGGGGCCGACUGAAGGAAGAGAAGGCUGGAGAGAGGGAACAUGGGUCUGAGGGCACAUCGCUAAGGGGUCAAGAGGCCUAAAGGAGGAGUCUAAGGCUCUCCAUCGAACUUGGACUUGGUCUACAUUAGACUUUAACCUCCAUGAGGCUUGGACUUUCAGGCUUCCUCCCUCACACCGCGGGCAGGUGAGGCGUCUGCUACAGGCCUGGUCUCGCAGAGGGGGCCCAGCGCCCCCCGCCGCCGCCUUCUCCUGGAGUCUGUGUGACAGAAUGGGACCUGUGGGAAAGCAGCACGUCAGCACCCAGCCCCGCUUGCGCGCCAGCAGCUAAUUAAAGCCAGGAAGGUGAUGGCGAUUUUCAACUCAUUCCCGUUACAAACAGCCGACCUUCCUACCGAGUUCAAGUACCUUCUGCCUGGCCUGGAAGAACAAUAUCUCUCUGUCUCCCUCUUCCACUGGCCCUCACCUGCCUUCCCCUGAACAUGCAUUUUGCCUGACAGGAGACAGAGGCAGUUGAUGCUUGCAGCUUGGUCCAGGAGGCCAGCAGGACCAGAGAGAAGACCACAGCGACACAUGGGGAUGGCUGUCCCACAGGCAGAAAUGAGCAGCCGGGAGGAAGCCCAGGCAGCCAGCCACCCAGCUCCCUCCACAUCGUGGCCCUAGAACGGAGUCUUGAAGAAUA